Molecule: ribosomal RNA, 253 nt
Filed under: uncultured bacterium
Lineage: Bacteria
Description: partial 16S ribosomal RNA
Rfam family: Bacterial small subunit ribosomal RNA
Source: RNAcentral
UACGUAGGGAGCAAGCGUUGUCCGGAAUUAUUGGGCGUAAAGGGUGCGUAGGCGGCUAUGCAAGUCAGAUGUGAAAUCCCCGGGCUUAACUCGGGUAUUGCAUUUGAAACUGUAAAGCUUGAGUAAAGAAGAGGUAAGUGGAAUUCCUAGUGUAGCGGUGGAAUGCGUAGAUAUUAGGAGGAACACCAGUGGCGAAGGCGACUUACUGGUCUUUUACUGACGCUGAGGCACGAAAGCGUGGGGAGCAAACAGG